RNA transcript from Cucurbita maxima (winter squash), 1519 nucleotides. RefSeq lists it as uncharacterized. The transcript has 5 exons. The record is from RefSeq and is a predicted model, not a curated record. NCBI's taxonomy places the organism in Eukaryota, Viridiplantae, Streptophyta, Magnoliopsida, Cucurbitales, Cucurbitaceae.
AAAUAAAUACGCCUUUUUCAGGCAAUCGUAAAACCCCAGCUUUCCGUCUUCGACUCUCUCAGAGCUUCAUCACUCUAUCAAUCAAGUUCCCAAUCUCAGAGAAGACACUCACCGAUUGUGAUGGGGAAAGCGGAUAAAGAGCGACUCAUCCGAACUCUCAAUUCCCAUCUCAAUACCAUCCAUGAAACUUUUCAGAUGUUGGAUCAAAAUCCAUCUUCUUCCCUUGAAAUCGUGAAGUGGGAGGAUGUUGUAAAAAUGGGCGACCAAGUCUACAAGCAGGCGAGUGUCGCUGGAAUGGUGUGGACUGGAGAGAGGCUAGAAGUUAAAGCAAUUGAGGAAAACAUGGCAGCUUAUUUCAACACGCUGCAAGGUUUCCUCCUGGUUUCCUUUGGGAGUAAAGUGGGUGCUGGCCCUACUCUGUCUUCUGUUAUCCAUGCAGCUGUUAAGCAAGUAAUUGAUUCCAGUUUUAGGUUAUGGAAGGAAUCCGUCUCCUUCUAUGGAUCACAGAAUAAUAAAGACCAAACCCAAGUAGUUCCACAAUUGGUUGGUGCGGUUUGGGAUGCUUGCUCUGCCCUUAAGAAAACUCCUUCCACAAAUAUAACUGCAAUUGGCCGAGCAAUAACCCAGGUAGCUGUGUCGGUGAAGGACGUCCUCCGAGAGAUGAAGGAUCUUAAACAAGGUUCCUCUGACUUGGAUGAAGCUCCUGAAGAAUCUUCUAGCAAAGUAGAAGGUGAUACACAAGAUGAUGGUAAUACAAGCGACGAUGCCGAUAUAGGUAACGAUUUGUCAGCCGACGAGAUGAGAGUUGCUCAAUCUGCCAUGAGUGUUGUUUCUUCAACACUUCUAGUUAUAAAGGAACUCAUCCGCUCUAUCACAAGUUUGCUCAAGCUGGAAAAUGCAAACAUUCAAAGUAACAUAGCGUCCUUGGAGAAUCUAUUGAAGCUAUGCCAAGGAAUAGGAGUGCAGGUGGACGAGCUUGGAGCUUGUCUUUACCCCCCACAAGAGAUCCCUGCCAUUAAAGCAGCUUCUGAAAAAAUUUCUAGCUUUCUUGACAAUAUGCAGGCAGAGUUAGGAAGUCUUAAUGGUAAUUCAGAAGGCUUUCUUCAGGCAUGCAACGAUCUGCAAAAUUCAUGUAAACAGCUCGAGACCGAACUAAGUGGCUCCACGGCUACUGAUAUAGAAAGUCGAAUGGAGAAUGUGACUUUAAGCAACUGAAGGAGAUUAUGUGAUAUUAUCUCCAGCUCACACAACUUAUUUCUGAUUCAAUUGUCAGCGGAGGGGGAUCCUCUCAGAGAUGUAAAAUUAGGGUUGAAUCCGCGGAUCCGCCCUUGGAGCGAUGGUAUAAGAAGAAUUUGGUCAUCGCCUUGAGAGCUUGACCACCAUCCAAAAAGGGAGCUGCCAGAAGCACCUGAGUUAAAGGGUCUGUUGACGGUUUAAGUACAGCAGCUUCCACCACUGCACCAACCACAGCGUAUCUCCAAAAUUGAAAGCAUUUGGCUUCUUUGACACCUGCCGAACU